This 460-nucleotide ribosomal RNA is filed under the name uncultured bacterium. Its description in RNAcentral is "partial 16S ribosomal RNA". It matches the Rfam family "Bacterial small subunit ribosomal RNA", at positions 338 to 795 of the family's 1533-position model. The record is from RNAcentral.
CCUACGGGUGGCAGCAGUGAGGAAUAUUGGUCAAUGGACGAGAGUCUGAACCAGCAAAGUAGCGUGAAGGAUGACUGCCCUAUGGGUUGUAAACUUCUUUUAUCUGGGAAUAAAACGUUCCACGUGUGGGAUUUUGUAUGUACCAUAUGCAUAAGGAUCGGCUAACUCCGUGCCAGCAGCCGCGGUAAUACGGAGGAUCCGAGCGUUAUCCGGGUUUAUUGGGUUUGAAGGGAGCGUAGGUGGAUUGUUAAGUCAGUUGUGAAAGUUUGCGGCUCAACCGUAAAAUUGCAGUUGAAACUGGCAGUCUUGAGUACAGUAGAGGUGGGCGGAAUUCGUGGUGUAGCGGUGAAAUGCUUAGAUAUCACGAAGAAAUCCGAUUGCGAAGGCAGUUCACUGGACUGCAACUGACACUGAGGCUCGAAAGUGUGGGUAUCAAACAGGAUUAGAUACCCCUGUAGUC